AAUUAUUUGCAGGAAAGUACCAAUAUGUAGUGAUGGUCCACCAGUAAAGCACUUUUUGUAUAAUUAAUUUUAUACAGUCCGGAAAAAAUACAGUAAAAGAAAUAAACUUAAAUAUUCCUAGGCUAGUAUAGCACAUAUUUAAACUAUAGUUGUCUUAGAGAGUGUGUAUUAGGCCUAGAUUUUUUUGUGGUUAUGAAGCUAAGGGCUGGAGGAGGAAAGAAAUGUCAUGAUAACGGGCAAUUAUGGUCAAUCCAAUGGAAAUUAAAAUUUUUACCAAAUUUGUAUCAACAAUAAGUAAUAAAUUAAAAGAAUUGCUUCCUUGUAUUUGCUUGGUCCAAAUAGGAUCUCCAGCCGUGUAACAACUGCGUCUCUGUGAUAAGGGAGGGAGUAUAAGUGUUGGCUCCAAAGCAGCAGUUGAUACAGUUGACUCUCGUAUCCAAAGUCAACUAGGUUCAGCACCACAGCCCUCCUCGACCAGGCCGCACAAUACAUCUGCACCAAUCCCAGAGCACGACCCACGACAACGCAGGUGCAGCAGGAGAGACCACUGGACGAGAAGGCAACCGAACAGCAUCUUCAGUAUGACCAAGCGGUUGCUGGUGGUGUCGCUCUCGGCAAGAAUGCCUGCAUACGUAAUUGAUUUUCUCUCCAAUGGUACAUCGUCAUCCGUAAUACACACAUCUGAACGUGUUACCAUUCCAAGGAAGGGCUGAGCUUCUAUGUCUUCCUCUGAUAAUUUUGUACCUAUUACCCUAAAUACAUUAGUCUGAGUAUUUGA
This is a long non-coding RNA of Procambarus clarkii (red swamp crayfish), 778 nucleotides long. RefSeq lists it as uncharacterized. The record is from RefSeq and is a predicted model, not a curated record. NCBI's taxonomy places the organism in Eukaryota, Metazoa, Arthropoda, Malacostraca, Decapoda, Cambaridae.